CGCUUUUGUGGGGUGCUCGAGUGGCGAACGGGUGAGUAACACGUGAGUAACCUGCCCUUGACUUUGGGAUAACUUCAGGAAACUGGGGCUAAUACCGGAUAGGAGCUCCUGCUGCAUGGUGGGGGUUGGAAAGUUUCGGCGGUUGGGGAUGGACUCGCGGCUUAUCAGCUUGUUGGUGGGGUAGUGGCUUACCAAGGCUUUGACGGGUAGCCGGCCUGAGAGGGUGACCGGCCACAUUGGAACUGAGAAACGGUCCAA
Molecule: ribosomal RNA, 258 nt
Filed under: uncultured Actinomycetales bacterium
Lineage: Bacteria; Bacillati; Actinomycetota; Actinomycetes; Actinomycetales
Description: partial 16S ribosomal RNA
Rfam family: Bacterial small subunit ribosomal RNA
Source: RNAcentral